Molecule: long non-coding RNA, 1857 nt
Filed under: Fragaria vesca (wild strawberry)
Lineage: Eukaryota; Viridiplantae; Streptophyta; Magnoliopsida; Rosales; Rosaceae
Description: long non-coding RNA (FVES_LNC005142)
Source: RNAcentral
GGAGGUCGGACGGCGGCGGGAGGACGGCCGGAAGUUUGCUGGGUGUAGAGAGAAGAAAAUCGGGUGGGAGGAGAAGAAAAAUCGGGAGGGAGGGAGAGAGAAAGGAAGAAGAAAUGGGUUGGGCUCGGCCCAGCCGACCCAACAUUCCUUUUAACCCAAAUUUUCAAAAUUCAACACCCCGAAAAAUAAUACCCGAAUAAAAAUUACCUUUUACUAGCUAAAAUUUACUAUUUUUACCGUCGUCGUAUUUUCCUCAUACGAAUAAUCCUCCGCACAUAAUCGUCCCCGAAACCCCUCUAGGGACCAAUUAAACUAUUUACUCAAUGAUCGGGACGGUAAAAAUUCUUAUUAUAAUCACGCUAGUAAAUAAGGUAAAAAUAUAAGGGUCGGGAUGUAUUUAUAUAAAUAUGUAUUUAUGAGACAGAGAAGAUGGAUGGAGUUAAUCAAUUUGUCACAUCCCGGGACCCGCUCCGCCGUAACACGAUAUUGUCCGCUUUGGGCCCACCGGCCCUCACGGUUUUGUUUCCGGCAGCUCAGGAGCAGCUUCCCAGUAGGUCACCCAUCCUGGGAUUGCUCUCGCAUCGACAUGCUUAACCUCGGAGUACCCAUCCCCUCCGAAGCCGUUGAGCCACCAAAAGGCCUCGUAUUAGGUUGGUGGUGGGCAUGUACAUAUACAGCACAUAACCCCCCGCUCCGUUUGGCCGAUGUGGGAUAUUACAAUCCACCCCCCUUGGGAGUCCGACGCCCUCGUCGGCACACUCGCACCACACGGCAGAGUGGCUCUGAUACCAUUUGUCACAUCCCGGGACCCGCUCCGCCGUAACACGAUAUUGUCCGCUUUGGGCCCACCGGCCCUCAUGGUUUUGUUUCCGGCAGCUCAGGAGCAGCUUCCCAGUAGGUCACCCAUCCUGGGAUUGCUCUCGCAUCGACAUGCUUAACCUCGGAGUACCCAUCCCCUCCGAAGCCGUUGAGCCACCAAAAGGCCUCGUAUUAGGUUGGUGGUGGGCAUGUACAUAUACAGCACAUAACCCCCCGCUCCGUUUGCCAAAAUUCUCUGAUACCAACUGACACGACCCACCCCGAAUUUCACCCUGAAACCCAGAGUAAGUCGUGCGGGGACCACCUCCAAGGAAAAUUUACUGAAAAGAUUAAGAAAAUCUCCCUUGCAGAUGGACAACCCUAACUCGAAAAUUUCAUAUUACACUCUUAAUUUAAUGCUUCUGAAUAUCACAUAAAAUACAAAAUUCUAAAGUAUUCAGAGCUACUAAACACAAGCGGAAGCAAGAAAACACGAGUAGGUUGAACAGGUAACCUACUGAUGAAAACUGGCCGAAAAGCGGGUGACUAUGCCUCGUCUCCUACUAGAUCCAACCCGAACUCUGCAGACUGGGCAAUUUAAAACGAAAUGCCCAGGGGAAAACAUUUAAUAACGUCAGAGUGAGUGGACAAAAAUAAAAUAAUAAAUAAAAUAUUUAUGUUUCCCCAAAUUAAUUUCUAAGGAAAAAUCGAAUGCAUGCCGCAAGCGAUAAAACUUUUAUCCUAUAAAUAUCGAGCCUCUCAGACUCUAUAAUAUAUGUAUGUAUUUACACUCGUCCAUACUCCCUAUAUAAAUUCAUGGGUCUAUAUAGGGCUACUACGCUCGCGUCCAACGCUCACGUCACGCCUUAAUGCGGUGCUACACUACGCCAUCAAGGUGGACAGACGGGUGUAUAAAUAUGUGUCCAUACCCCCUAUAUGAAUUAAACACUCAAAUAGGGCUACUACGCUUACGUCCAACGCUCACGUCACACCAUAAUGCGGCUAUAUGCUACGCCAUUAAGGUGGACAGACACAUAUGGCUAGCUAGCAUUUUUAUAC